RNAcentral lists this ribosomal RNA (208 nucleotides) under uncultured bacterium. RNAcentral describes it as "partial 16S ribosomal RNA". It matches the Rfam family "Bacterial small subunit ribosomal RNA", at positions 524 to 729 of the family's 1533-position model. The record is from RNAcentral.
UACGUAGGGUGCAAGCGUUAAUCGGAAUUACUGGGCGUAAAGCGUGCGCAGGCGGUUUUGCAAGUCUGUCGUGAAAUCCCCGGGCUCAACCUGGGAAUUGCGAUGGAGACUGCAAAGGCUAGAAUCUGGCAGAGGGGGGGUAGAAUUCCACGUGUAGCAGUGAAAUGCGUAGAGAUGUGGAGGAACACCGAUGGCGAAGGCAGCCCCC